AUUAUUUCAUUGAAUAAAUUCUUCAUUCCUUUGAUUUGUAAAAACUCUAUGCCUUCUUGUAUCCCAAUAAUUAUUAAAUUUGGUCUUUUUAUGUUAUCCCAUAAUUCUUGAAUGUUCUGCUCAUGGUUUCUUACCAUCUUCACUGUGUGGUCAACUUUACUUUUAAGAUUAUAUAUUUUGUCUUCAUUUCCUGAGAUUCUCUCUUCCAAGUGAUCUAAUCUGUUGGUUG
Molecule: long non-coding RNA, 229 nt
Filed under: Marmota monax (woodchuck)
Lineage: Eukaryota; Metazoa; Chordata; Mammalia; Rodentia; Sciuridae
Source: RNAcentral